This is a long non-coding RNA of Stegostoma tigrinum, 2432 nucleotides long. RefSeq lists it as uncharacterized. The record is from RefSeq and is a predicted model, not a curated record. NCBI's taxonomy places the organism in Eukaryota, Metazoa, Chordata, Chondrichthyes, Orectolobiformes, Stegostomatidae. The transcript has 3 exons.
AUCCAGAGAGACCAAGAUCAUGUUUCGACUCCAGGUUCCUCUUCCGGAAGUGUGCAGGGUGCUACAGAAUGCUGGGGGCUGGGGGAUAAGAAAGGACGUUGACAUUGCGGAUUAAGUGCGAAUGUGAGACUGACAGAAAGGAAAGAACAGGCAUUCCCCCCUGGGGUGUAUGGGGUGGCCCGAAAGUUGCUCACUCCUAUCACCUGGCCCAUGGCGACAAUCACUUUCCCCAAGUGCCCAGGCUGGCAUCCGCAUCGGAUCAGUUUCACAGUACGGGGGGAGAGAGCAGUGUUAUUCCCGUCCGUUUGAUGUCUUCUUACCGCGACCCCCUCCUCCGCCCACCCGCGAAGCUUGGAUUCAAUUCAAACCCAAACGCCUCCCCCCACCACCGAACCUCCAGCCCGCCGCUUACGUGCAUCCUUCAGGCCGGGCGAUGAAAAUGUCCGAAGCCAAGUCAGCGGGCGAUCCGAGCGUUGCUGCCCUUUGACCUGGAGAGGACAGCGAGGUGAGGUGGUGGACGGGGGGAGCCUCGGAGGGGGUGGGUGGUGAGGAGUGUGUUGCUGUCUCUCUACCUGUCCCUUGGUAAGAGUGUCUGUGGGAGAGGGGAAGGGAAGGGAAGGGUGCCUGUCUCUGUCUCCGGGCGGGUGACGGUUGGUGCUAGAAUGCUGCCGGAGUUUUGAAACAGCCCCGCGGCGCGAGCGAGAGCGCGCCGUCUGCACCCGGACCUCCCCGCUCAAACAGAACUGACCCCGGGGGUCGUGGAAACAAUCAGCCCAGACCCGCAAGCAUUUACAGACCAGUUUAUUACAGUCUUUGUACCCAAGCGGUGACAGAAGUACGCCGCCGUUAUGCUGAUAGGCCUGAUGGUUGUUAUUCCGGCGGAGGCGGGAGUCCUGAUCGUUGGGACCACGCGGGAAUCCCCAUUGCAGCCGACACUGAAGAAAUUGCCUGUGAACGAUACGCGUGGAAAGUCUCCGUUUCGAGUCAUGAAUUCGGAGGGUUCCAAUGAAAUUUGGGAUAAUCUACUCUUGACUCUUGGGUAACUAUUUGUCUCUACAAACUACCCGUUCCCUGUCAGUCCCUGAUCCGACCCGCAAUGAGGGAUCUCAUUGAAACUUGCAGCAUGCAGCACAGAGACAGACCCUUCGGUCCAACCAGCCGAUGCCAGCAUGAUAGCCGAAAUUAAUCUAGUUCCAUUUGCUAGCAUUGGACCUACCUGACCUACGUGACAUGAUGGUGACAGGGUACUUUGCAAUUCCACUCUGCUUGCCAGUUUUUUUCUCUCUCCCCUCUGCACUAAAUCUAUUCCUCCCCCGCCCGCCUUUUUAACUAACCACCUAAGGAGUCAGGCAGAAGCUUGGUUGCGAGCAGGAAUCCGCAUGGUGGGAGCUGAAUGCACAGGCCGUGUCCUGCAGCAACGGCAGAUUGAGCCCGAGCUGAAGCAACCAUAGCGGAUCAAGAGUGGGCCGGUUCACCAGUGAGGUAGUGGCGGCGAGUGCGGACGGUGAGGCAGCAGCAGUCGAUGGUGAGAGUGGGCCUUUCGCAUAUCCGAAGCUGCCUCCUGGGUGACCUAGCGAUUGGAGCAGCACUACUGUGGAGAUUAGGUUCAACAUUUUUAGGAAGAAAUGUCCAGAUUUUCAGAAGGAUUUGUGUGAGGAUGUACUUUUUGACACCACUACGCUAUCACCCAAGACUGAUGUCAUAUUCGUGACCCUUAAUACUGCAAGCUCAUGAGCAAACAGCCUAUUCCCUGACAAAAAGAAGAUCAUUGAUAAAGCAAUUGGAAAUGUUUGAUUCGACCAGAUACAGAUCAGCACAAUUUCAUGAACAACGUCCAAGUUCCAGUUCAUCUGCUUCCAAACAGAAGGUUGGCUCACAUCCAGGAGUGCAGCAGGGUAACAGACAGAUUCCCAUUGUGCCUGAGCAGAAAAAUAAUAAAUUCAUAAUCAAAAGAACUUGUACAGAUGAUAUUGUGUUUACCUGAUCUACAUCAGAUGGCAUAUUCAAGCUAAAUGAAUAAGAGAACAAAGGAGAAGCAACAUAGCCAGUCCAAAUUCCCUUCAAGCCUCAUUGUAUCACCCUGAUAACUCAUUCUUAUAUCAUUAUGUUGUCUGCAAACUUUUAAAUAUUAAAUUUGGUGUCCACAUUCAAAUCAGUGAUCCAGAUUGUGAACAGCUAGGAUCUAAACACAGACCCUUGAAAUACCCUACUCAUCACAUUGCGAACCUGAGAAUGACCCAUUUAUUUCUGCUCUGUUUUCUUUCCAUUAACCAAUUCUCAGUCUAUGCCAGUAUGUUACCCCGAUCCUAUGUACUACUGUUUUGUUCAUUAAUCCCUUGUAUGGGAUCUUAUUAACAGCCACUGAAAAUCCAAAUACACAACACCCAAUUGUACACCUUUAUCUACUCUAUUCAUACCACCCUCAAUAAAAU